CUUUUAGUUUUCACUCUCUAACUUAAGUAAAAGUGAAUAGAAAUCUAUGAAAUUUUAACACAAGGUUUAUGACCACAAAAGGAAGGUUGGGAUUGAUUUUGGGAGUUUCGGUCCCAACAGUUUAUACAAUACAAUACAAUAUUUUUAUUUUCCAAAUUAAAGGGCCCAUUAAGAGCAUAACAUUAAUUACAACAUGACAUAAACAUUACAGAGUGAUUAAAGAAACAUAAAAUAAUAAAAUAAUAAUUCAAAUGCAUGAGGAAAGAAUCAGUGGUCAAGGGGAGAUAAUUUUGAUAUGUUUUAGAGUAUUUAAGUUAACUAAUUUUCUGAUUUUCUAAGUUGCAGGCCUUUAUCGAGGUAUGCACAUAAAAUUGAUAAAAAUCUGCUAUCUUCAUUAAUCAUGAUCCAUGAAAAAAGAUCUUUUCUGUUUAAAUUAUCUAAACUGGGGUAUUUUUUUAUAUAAUCAGUCACAUCUCUUCUGAGGUUAUUGUAAAGAGGGCAUUCCAGAAGAAAGUGUAUUUCAUUUUCAAUACAAUUUGAAUUACAAUAUAAACAUAUCCUCUCAUGUCGAGGUAAUAUUUCAUAUUUACCACAUACAUUGGUAAUUCGUUCAUGUCUGCCAGUUUCUAUUCUUAAACAGUGAUUGCUGAGUCUGUAUUUUGUUAACAAAUGUUUUUGUGGGUGUUUUAAAUCUAAAUAAUUUUCGUAGUCAAAUGACCUUUUGAAUGAAAAAUAAGUGUCCAAUUAGCCUUGAUUCUGUAAAUAAAAAUCUCGCAUUUUUUCCCAAUUGUUUUGAAAAUUUAAUAUGAGCUGUUUUUUCAGUAAACUUUUAAAUUUAUUUUUGCCUAAAUUUUUACAUAUAUUUAGGUCAAUACCCAAUUUUUCACUGUAAAAAGUUUAGGAAUAAGGGGCCAAAAAGGGCCCAAAUAAGCAUUUUCUUGGUUUUCGCACUAUAACUUUAGUUUAAGUAAAUAGAAAUCUAUGAAAUUUUGACACAAGGUUUAUGACCACAAAAGGAAGGUUGGGAUUGAUUUUGGGAGUUUUGGUCCCAACAGUUUAGGAAUUAGGGGCCAAAAAAGGGCCCAAAUAAGCAUUAUUCUUGGUUUUCGCACAAUAACUUUAGUAUAAGUAAAUAGAAAUCAAUGAAAUUUAAACACAAGGUUUAUGACCACAAAAGGAAGGUUGGGAUUGAUUUUGGGAGUUGAGGUCCCAACAGUUUAGGAAUUAGGGGCCCAAAAGGGGCCCAAAUAAGCAUUAUUCUUGGUUUUCGCACCAUAACUUUAGUAUAAAGAAAAAGAAAUCUAUGAAAUUUAAACACAAGGUUUAUGACCAGAAAAGGAAGGUUGGGUUUGAUUUUGGGAGUUUUGGUCCCAACAGUUUAGGAAUAAGAGGCC
This 1394-nucleotide long non-coding RNA is filed under the name Mytilus galloprovincialis (Mediterranean mussel). The record is from RNAcentral. Lineage: Eukaryota; Metazoa; Mollusca; Bivalvia; Mytilida; Mytilidae.